UAGGUCCCAUGCCCAUCGCUUUGGGGUAAUUCAGCUUUAUGUUUAUAAAUUUAUAAAUUUAUCUUUAGAGAUCUGUCUUCAGAACACAAUCACAUCACUGACACAGCAAAGGGGGUAGAAGAACGUCAGACAGCUCAUGGCCAAGGAAGAGAUGCAGAAGAGGAGCUGGAAAAGCUCUCAGAUCCAGAGACAGCGGAACGAGGCCGACCAAGAAUCACGGUGCUGUUCAUUUCAGACAUGGGAGCAGAAGACAAGAUUUCAGACUCAUACACACUGCGACCCCAUGCCCGACUUCAAAAAAACAGUGAUUCAUCCAGACACCAAAGCUCAGCAGCUCAGAGUCAACCUCAAAUAUAGUCAAAGCUCACCAAGUGCUCCCCCAAGAAAAAUAGAACCUAAGUGCCUGACGACCUUUACCGCAGGCAUAUUUUUAGGGACGUGCCUAUCCCGUAUACUUCUUGCUCCCUCACGUAGAAGGAAAUCUCUAGAAUAACACCUCCAACUGAGCCUCUCUUCCUCCAACUCUCUUGCUCCCCAGCCCAUGGAGGAUGGAUAGGGCCAUCGUAGGAGAAACAGUGUGUGAGACAUGGCUUCUUCACGAUGACUGCGAGGCUCAGCACCCCGAUGUUGGGUGGCCCAAGCCGCCAUGACUCGACGAACUUUUACAUUCUCAAAGUUGCAAUGAAUGAAAAGCCUUCUCCAACCUCGAGCAGGGGAACUAACUGAGUCUUGGAACAUAGAAGGCAAUUCCUGGCUUUAUUCUUACUGCUGUCAACGUGGUUUAUGCAAAAACACAGGGUGGGAUUUAUAAAAAUGUGUCUAAAACCUAAUCUCUGUGCUGAGCAGUUGGGGAGAUUGAAACAAUUUACAUCCCAUCUCUUUCAACUUUUGUCCAUGUAUUUAGAUGCUUUUGGGGGGAUCCCAUCACUUUCAGCUUUUAUCCAUUGGGGGGGGGGGGUCUUCUCCUAUUUUGCUUCCAAAUGGGUAACGUGCAUGAAGACUAACAAACACAGUGUCCAUAUCAUUGUCCCCGUAACCCAGCCACAGAUUAUGUAGACUGAUACAGAAGAACAGCUGAUGGAUGACAGAAAAGCAAGGAUUCAUGACUCGGUUUUUAGGGAUGUGGGGUUGGCACACUCCUUGAGACAAUUUCCGCCUAUCAAGCAAACUCCACGUAAGAAAGCGUUGUAUCCAUGGCACUGACUUCUCCAUGAAAGGAAGCAGAAGACCUUAUAAUACCUCCAUCCCCCAACUUUGUAAGGCCGUCAUCCAAAGAAGGGUCUGGAAGACCAUUACCCUCAAAGCACUAAGCAUGGAGAACCAUACAUUGUCCUAUGACAUGGUUGAUCCCGACAAUUCAAUACCAUUUACCAUUAACCACACAACAAAAUAUAUAUCAAAAUAUGUAUCAUAUCAAUAAAUAUGGUGGACAAAUAUGUUCA
RNAcentral lists this long non-coding RNA (1442 nucleotides) under Vulpes vulpes (red fox). Its description in RNAcentral is "lncRNA (ENSVVUG00000018868.1)". Lineage: Eukaryota; Metazoa; Chordata; Mammalia; Carnivora; Canidae. The record is from RNAcentral.